GGAUGUGAGGGCGAUCUGGCUGCGACAUCUGUCACCCCAUUGAUUGUCAGGGUUGAUUCGGCUGAUCUGGCUGGCUAGGUGGGUGUCCCCUUCCUCCUUCACUGCUCCAUGUGCAUCCCACCCAAAGCUGUGCGCUCGGUCGAAGAGGAUGACCAUCCCCGAUAGAGGAGGACCGGUCUUCGGUAAAAGGUAUAGGAGUAGCUGCGCUCCUCUGCUAGAACCUCCAAACAAGCUCUCAAGUUAGGAUAGCAAUGUAACUAUUUUUACACUGACCUUCUACCUCUUUCAAAUUCUGU
This is a non-coding RNA of Dipodomys ordii (Ord's kangaroo rat), 296 nucleotides long. The record is from Rfam. Lineage: Eukaryota; Metazoa; Chordata; Mammalia; Rodentia; Heteromyidae.